UUAAUUGAAGCCAAAAAGAGGCUUAUCACUGUUAAUGAUAGAACUGAGAUACAAACUCCAAUUAAA
RNAcentral lists this transfer RNA (66 nucleotides) under Sarcophaga schuetzei. Its description in RNAcentral is "tRNA-Asn". The record is from RNAcentral. Lineage: Eukaryota; Metazoa; Arthropoda; Insecta; Diptera; Sarcophagidae.